AUUUAAUUAGUAUAUUUAAUACAUUUAAUUUCCAAUUAAAAAAUCCAAUAAAGGAUUAAAUA
This 62-nucleotide transfer RNA is filed under the name Sacculina sp. 'Beibu Gulf'. RNAcentral's name for it is "tRNA-Gly". Lineage: Eukaryota; Metazoa; Arthropoda; Thecostraca; Sacculinidae. The record is from RNAcentral.